This 468-nucleotide ribosomal RNA is filed under the name uncultured bacterium. RNAcentral's name for it is "partial 16S ribosomal RNA". It matches the Rfam family "Bacterial small subunit ribosomal RNA", at positions 28 to 507 of the family's 1533-position model. The record is from RNAcentral.
GACGAACGCUGGCGGCGUGCUUAACACAUGCAAGUCGAACGGAAAGGCCCUGCUUUUGUGGGGUGCUCGAGUGGCGAACGGGUGAGUAACACGUGAGUAACCUGCCCUUGACUUUGGGAUAACUUCAGGAAACUGGGGCUAAUAACGGAUAGGAGCUCCUGCUGCAUGGUGGGGGUUGGAAAGUUUCGGCGGUUGGGGAUGGACUCGCGGCUUAUCAGCUUGUUGGUGGGGUAGUGGCUUACCAAGGCUUUGACGGGUAGCCGGCCUGAGAGGGUGACCGGCCACAUUGGGACUGAGAUACGGCCCUGACUCCUACGGGAGGCAGCAGUGGGGAAUAUUGCACAAUGGGCGGAAGCCUGAUGCAGCAACGCCGCGUGCGGGAUGACGGCCUUCGGGUUGUAAACCGCUUUCGCCUGUGACGAAGCGUGAGUGACGGUAAUGGGUAAAGAAGCACCGGCUAACUACGUG